CAGCCGCCGCGGUAAUGCGGAGGGAGCUAGCGUUGUUCGGAAUUACUGGGCGUAAAGCGCACGUAGGCGGUUAUUCAAGUCAGAGGUGAAAGCCCGGGGCUCAACCCCGGAACUGCCUUUGAAACUAGAUGACUGGAAUCUUGGAGAGGUCAGUGGAAUUCCGAGUGUAGAGGUGAAAUUCGUAGAUAUUCGGAAGAACACCAGUGGCGAAGGCGACUGACUGGACAAGUAUUGACGCUGAGGUGCGAAAGCGUAGGGAGCGAACAGGAUUAGAUACCCCGGUAGUCCCUGUCUCUUAUAC
RNAcentral lists this ribosomal RNA (301 nucleotides) under uncultured bacterium. RNAcentral describes it as "partial 16S ribosomal RNA". It matches the Rfam family "Bacterial small subunit ribosomal RNA", at positions 509 to 807 of the family's 1533-position model. The record is from RNAcentral.